Molecule: non-coding RNA, 442 nt
Organism: Pelobates cultripes (western spadefoot toad)
Lineage: Eukaryota; Metazoa; Chordata; Amphibia; Anura; Pelobatidae
Source: the annotation of a GenBank genome assembly
GUGUAUUCCACUUCAAAUGAUAAAAUCCUUCCUUGUAAUAAACUACUCACUCCUACACAAACGGCGUAAUUAUUCAAGGAGAAUGAAAUACUGUUUUUUCACCGAACCGUUAAAUGUGGACUGAAUUACAAAAUGUGACUAAGGCAGAGUUGGAUCAUUUUGGACACUUCAUUUAGUUUUUGGGCAGUUUGGUUUACAAUUCCCUAUUUAAUGAAAAACCCUAUAAUGUAAACCACAGUGAUAGCUCUGUAGAGAGAGCUCUACCUGCAAUCAAUGUCAGUCUAGGCCAGAAGAAGGCAACCUGUUACAGCACUGUGCCCCAUCGAGACUUUACAUUCCCCUGGCAUGCGAGUCCUAUUAUUUAAAAUGUAUCAACGUAUUUGUAUGUUGCCAAAUGCUGCCUAUGUGCUAUUAUGAUUGCUGCAAUUGCUUUGUAUUGAUG